AACAGAGGGUGCGAACGUUGUUCGGAAUUACUGGGCGUAAAGCACAUGUAGGCGGCAGCGCAAGUCGGGCGUGAAAUCCCACGGCUCAACCGUGGAAGUGCACUCGAAACUGCGCAGCUAGAGUCCUGGAGAGGAAGGUGGAAUGCUUGGUGUAGAGGUGAAAUUCGUAGAUAUCAAGCGGAACACCGGUGGCGAAUGCGGCCUUCUGGACAGUGACUGACGCUGAGAUGCGAAAGCGUGGGGAGCAAACAGG
RNAcentral lists this ribosomal RNA (253 nucleotides) under uncultured bacterium. Its description in RNAcentral is "partial 16S ribosomal RNA". It matches the Rfam family "Bacterial small subunit ribosomal RNA", at positions 524 to 776 of the family's 1533-position model. The record is from RNAcentral.